Long non-coding RNA from Fukomys damarensis (Damara mole-rat), 681 nucleotides. RefSeq lists it as uncharacterized. The transcript is spliced from 3 exons. The record is from RefSeq and is a predicted model, not a curated record. NCBI's taxonomy places the organism in Eukaryota, Metazoa, Chordata, Mammalia, Rodentia, Bathyergidae.
CCUGCAAUAAGAAGGCAUUUGGUGUCUGCUAUAAAAUGAUUUAAUGCCUUAUUGAAAGGAAUUAGGCUCACAGGAAAUGGUUUAGGACUCACACUGGAUUUUGCUGGAACUAGUACCAUUCAAACUCAGAUAUAGCCUGCACAUCUGUCUGCAUUUCAAUACAGCUACAAAAAUAAUAAAUUGGAUUGAAAAUGUCUUUGAUGUCCAUGAUCAAAAGAUCAGAUUUCUAAGACAAAAAUAUCAUCAGCCUCCGAACACCUUUUCUGACUUACAGGUUAAUGAUGUCGGUAUCUUACAAAUGAGAAUCCCUGGGGGAAUAUGAAGAUCAGCUAGCCCACUGAGACAGGGACUGUGAGCUGUGCUGGUUUAUUCUCCCUUUGUGGAGUCUACAACUACACACUUUUCAUCACUCACUGAAAUGUUUUACAAAGCACCUGCCAUCUCCUAAUUAUUUGAGAUAUACAAGAGGAUUCUGAAUGUAUUCACCACGAAGAAGUGAUAAAGUUUGAGGUGAUGGCUAUAUGCUGAUCACCCCAUUUUGAUCACUAUCCAAUGUGUGUAUGAAUCAGGACAUCAUACUGUACCCCAAAGGUGUGUACAGAUAUUACACCAUGAGAAAAAUGAAAUACGUGUAAACAACACAGCAAACACCUCCCAGAGAAGAAUAAGCAAACCAACACA